UAUAAAAGGAGCUGACGACUCCAAGCAAGUCGUUGAUCCGUCCACCGACCAGUCGACCAGUCGAUCUGCUGAUCUGACUACCGACCGAGACAUCUGCACACCUGAUCCCGCUGGAAGGAGCAUCGCCGCCGACCAGACGAGACCAGAGGACGAGGAAAGCGGAGAGGCGGACAGCCUAGCGCCGACUCGACGCCCUUCGUCUACGGAUCGGACCCUCUGACCCCACGGGAGGAAACAUCGCGCUCCCACAAGGACUUGCGCAGUACAGUGCCCCAGGAAGACAUGCUUCCACACCAGUGACUUGAAACCUGAAAAAGACAGUCCCAGCCAUCAAGACGUCCAACACAGGAGAGGAUGUGGACAAAUUUUGAAGAUUCAUCGUCUGCUUCUUGGACUAUGUAGCAGCAGAACCAGCAGAAAUACUGACUCAAUAAAUGCAGAAUAGCUAAGAGUCUUUACAUGACAAGUAACAAAAGAAAACCUCACAUUUUCUCAGGCCAAAAAGAAAAAAAACCAGCAGAGAAAUUUAUCACAAAUAUACAAAGUUGACUCAUACAGCCCAUGGACAGCAAGAGAAGACCAGAAUGGGGCAGAGAAGGGUUUCU
This 605-nucleotide long non-coding RNA is filed under the name Heterocephalus glaber (naked mole-rat). RNAcentral's name for it is "lncRNA (ENSHGLG00100040379.1)". The record is from RNAcentral. Lineage: Eukaryota; Metazoa; Chordata; Mammalia; Rodentia; Bathyergidae.